GAUGAAGAACGCAGCGAAAUGCGAUAAGUAAUGUGAAUUGCAGAAUUCAGUGAAUCAUCGAAUCUUUGAACGCACAUUGCGCCCGCCAGUAUUCUGGCGGGCAUGCCUGUUCGAGCGUCAUUUCAACCAUCAAGCCCCCGGCUUGUGUUGGGGACCUGCGGCUGCCGCAGGCCCUGAAAUGCAGUGGCGGGCUCGCUGUCACUCCGAGCGUAGUAGUUACAUCUCGCUCUGGGCGUGCUGCGGGUUCCGGCCGUUAAAAGCCUUAUUUACCCAAGGGUGACCUCGGAUCAGGUAGGAAGACCCGCUGAACUUAAGCAUAUCAAUAAGCGGAGGA
This 334-nucleotide unclassified non-coding RNA is filed under the name soil metagenome. RNAcentral describes it as "partial contains 5.8S ribosomal RNA, internal transcribed spacer 2, and large subunit ribosomal RNA". The stretch from base 1 to 120 matches the Rfam family "5.8S ribosomal RNA", at positions 35 to 154 of the family's 154-position model. The record is from RNAcentral.